GUUAACUGACGUUAACUCAAUGUCACAAAAGAUUUUACAUCAAUAAAAACUUACUUAGAGUAUAUUAUAUGAUAAAAACAUAUUUUUUGUACAGCUACUAUAUUUACUUUUACAGCUUUAUUUGUAGCAGUUUAAUAAGUGUACCAUGUGCAUUGUUAACGUAGCAUUGGGCUUGCUGUUCGCAGUUGCGAUCGUUUACUAUUUAGUACUGGGAUUUAUCAGCCGCUAUCAGAACGUAUAUGACAUAACGAUGGAUAUGAAGUCGCCAUCACCAGUAUAUCUGGCCACGUAUACGGAACCCACGCCACGACACGAAGGCUCGAAGUUUCAAUCACAACAUGCGGAAAACCAGGCUAAAGGCUAGCUUCAACAUUUUACGGAACCCUAGUAUAGGUCCAAAAUCACAAGAAUGAACUUUGAUCAAGUACAUUAGGUAAUUAAAUGAUUUUAAAAGCACAAA
Molecule: long non-coding RNA, 460 nt
Organism: Plutella xylostella (diamondback moth)
Lineage: Eukaryota; Metazoa; Arthropoda; Insecta; Lepidoptera; Plutellidae
Source: RefSeq, a predicted model, not a curated record